Molecule: ribosomal RNA, 410 nt
Filed under: uncultured bacterium
Lineage: Bacteria
Description: bacterial SSU rRNA
Rfam family: Bacterial small subunit ribosomal RNA
Source: RNAcentral
AGGGAAUAUUGCGCAAUGGACGGAAGUCUGACGCAGCGACGCCGCGUGAGCGAUGAAGGCCUUCGGGUCGUAAAGCUCUGUCCUUGGGGAAGAAGGUCUUCGGACUUGACGGUACCCAAGAAGAAAGCCCCGGCUAACUACGUGCCAGCAGCCGCGGUAAUACGUAGGGGGCGAGCGUUGUCCGGAAUUACUGGGCGUAAAGGGUGCGUAGGCGGCCCUUUAAGUCAGAUGUGAAAGGCCACGGCUUAACCGUGGGAUUGCAUUUGAAACUGGAGGGCUUGAGUGUCGGAGAGGGUAGUGGAAUUCCCAGUGUAGCGGUGAAAUGCGUAGAUAUUGGGAGGAACACCAGUGGCGAAGGCGACUAUCUGGACGAUAACUGACGCUGAGGCACGAAAGCUAGGGGAGCAAAC